Molecule: ribosomal RNA, 253 nt
Filed under: uncultured bacterium
Lineage: Bacteria
Description: partial 16S ribosomal RNA
Rfam family: Bacterial small subunit ribosomal RNA
Source: RNAcentral
UACGUAGGGGGCAAGCGUUGUCCGGAUUUAUUGGGCGUAAAGAGCGUGUAGGCGGCCGCACAGGUCCGUUGUGAAAACUGGAGGCUUAACCUUCAGACGUCGAUGGAAACCGUGCGGCUAGAGUCCGGAAGAGGAGAAUGGAAUUCCUGGUGUAGCGGUGAAAUGCGCAGAUAUCAGGAGGAACACCGGUGGCGAAGGCGGUUCUCUGGGCAUUACCUGACGCUGAGGAGCGAAAGUGUGGGGAGCGAACAGG